GCCAAGUGAUGAGCCCAAGGCAAGUGUGACUCCCUUUCCUCAAGUUAUGACUUCUGACCUUUGCACUUGGUCUGUAAUCUUGGUGGUUGUGUAGAAGCUUCUCGCUACCGCUGUAAGGCCAGACCAACAGUAGCUUAUCUAGCUGGUCUCUCUGAUAUUUGCUCAUUUGAGACUUGGUGUGCAGAAAUUAGAGUGACCUACAGGAUGGAUCGGUACCUAGAGUGCAGGUCAGUAGCUGUAACUUCUUGGAGGUUACAAGGAGGUAUGAGCACAUAUAUCUUUGGUAAUCUGAUGGCU
RNAcentral lists this small nucleolar RNA (297 nucleotides) under Pelobates cultripes (western spadefoot toad). Lineage: Eukaryota; Metazoa; Chordata; Amphibia; Anura; Pelobatidae. The record is from RNAcentral.